This 253-nucleotide ribosomal RNA is filed under the name uncultured bacterium. RNAcentral describes it as "partial 16S ribosomal RNA". It matches the Rfam family "Bacterial small subunit ribosomal RNA", at positions 524 to 776 of the family's 1533-position model. The record is from RNAcentral.
UACGUAGGGGGCAAGCGUUGUCCGGAAUUAUUGGGCGUAAAGCGCGCGCAGGCGGUCCUUUAAGUCUGAUGUGAAAGCCCGGGGCUCACCCCCGGAAGGGCAUUGGAAACUGGCGGACUCGAGUCUCGGAGAGGAAGGUGGAAUUCCUGGUGUAGCGGUGAAAUGCGUAGAUAUCAGGAGGAAUACCGGUGGCGAAGGCGGCCUUCUGGACGAUGACUGACGCUGAGACGCGAAAGCGUGGGGAGCAAACAGG